RNAcentral lists this ribosomal RNA (497 nucleotides) under uncultured bacterium. Its description in RNAcentral is "partial 16S ribosomal RNA". It matches the Rfam family "Bacterial small subunit ribosomal RNA", at positions 28 to 507 of the family's 1533-position model. The record is from RNAcentral.
GAUGAACGCUGGCGGCGUGCCUAAUACAUGCAAGUCGAGCGAACGGACGAGAAGCUUGCUUUUCUGAUGUUAGCGGCGGACGGGUGAGUAACACGUGGAUAACCUACCUAUAAGACUGGGAUAGCUUCGGGAAACCGGAGCUAAUACCGGAUAAUAUUUUGAACCGCAUGGUUCAAAAGUGAAAGACGGUCUUGCUGUCACUUAUAGAUGGAUCCGCGCUGCAUUGGCUAGUUGGUAAGGUAACGGCUUACCAAGGCAACGAUGCAUAGCCGACCUGAGAGGGUGAUCGGCCACACUGGAACUGAGACACGGUCCAGACUCCUACGGGAGGCAGCAGUAGGGAAUCUUCCGCAAUGGGCGAAAGCCUGACGGAGCAACGCCGCGUGAGUGAUGAAGGUCUUCGGAUCGUAAAACUCUGUUAUUAGGGAAGAACAUAUGUGUAAGUAACUGUGCACAUCUUGACGGUACCUAAUCAGAAAGCCACGGCUAACUACGUG